RNAcentral lists this ribosomal RNA (695 nucleotides) under Priestia megaterium. RNAcentral describes it as "bacterial SSU rRNA". It matches the Rfam family "Bacterial small subunit ribosomal RNA", at positions 56 to 731 of the family's 1533-position model. Lineage: Bacteria; Bacillati; Bacillota; Bacilli; Caryophanales; Bacillaceae. The record is from RNAcentral.
UGCAAGUCGAGCGAACUGAUUAGAAGCUUGCUUCUAUGACGUUAGCGGCGGACGGGUGAGUAACACGUGGGCAACCUGCCUGUAAGACUGGGAUAACUUCGGGAAACCGAAGCUAAUACCGGAUAGGAUCUUCUCCUUCAUGGGAGAUGAUUGAAAGAUGGUUUCGGCUAUCACUUACAGAUGGGCCCGCGGUGCAUUAGCUAGUUGGUGAGGUAACGGCUCACCAAGGCAACGAUGCAUAGCCGACCUGAGAGGGUGAUCGGCCACACUGGGACUGAGACACGGCCCAGACUCCUACGGGAGGCAGCAGUAGGGAAUCUUCCGCAAUGGACGAAAGUCUGACGGAGCAACGCCGCGUGAGUGAUGAAGGCUUUCGGGUCGUAAAACUCUGUUGUUAGGGAAGAACAAGUACGAGAGUAACUGCUCGUACCUUGACGGUACCUAACCAGAAAGCCACGGCUAACUACGUGCCACCAGCCGCGGUAAUACGUAGGUGGCAAGCGUUAUCCGGAAUUAUUGGGCGUAAAGCGCGCGCAGGCGGUUUCUUAAGUCUGAUGUGAAAGCCCACGGCUCAACCGUGGAGGGUCAUUGGAAACUGGGGAACUUGAGUGCAAAAAAAAAAAAGCGGAAUUCCACGUGUAGCGGUGAAAUGCGUAGAGAUGUGGAGGAACCCCAGUGGCGAAGGGGGCUUUUUG